Molecule: non-coding RNA, 82 nt
Organism: Ixodes scapularis (black-legged tick)
Lineage: Eukaryota; Metazoa; Arthropoda; Arachnida; Ixodida; Ixodidae
Source: Rfam
GCAGUCGUGGCCGAGUGGUUAAGGCAAUGGACUAGAAAUCCAUUGGGGUCUCCCCGCACAGGUUCGAAUCCUGUCGACUGCG